UAGGGAAUCUUCGGCAAUGGGGGGAACCCUGUCCGAGCAACGCCGCGCGAGUGAAGAAGGUUUUUGGAUCGUAAAGCUCUGUUGUUAAGGAAGAACGAGUGUGAGAAUGGAAAGUUCAUGCUGUGACGGUACUUAACCAGAAAGGGACGGCUAACUACGUGCCAGCAGCCGCGGUAAUACGUAGGUCCCGAGCGUUGUCCGGAUUUAUUGGGCGAAAAGCGAGCGCAGGCGGUCAAUUAAGUCUGAUGUGAAAGCCCCCGGCUCAACCGGGGAGGGGCAUUGGAAACUGGUUGACUUGAGUGCAGAAGAGGAGAGUGGAAUUCCGUGUGUAGCGGUGAAAUGCGUAGAUAUAUGGAGAAACACCAGUGGCGAGGGCGACUCUCUGGUCUGUAACUGACGCUGAGGCUCGAAAGCGUGGGUAGCAAACAGG
Molecule: ribosomal RNA, 430 nt
Filed under: Bacteroidota bacterium
Lineage: Bacteria; Pseudomonadati; Bacteroidota
Description: Bacteroidetes bacterium partial 16S ribosomal RNA
Rfam family: Bacterial small subunit ribosomal RNA
Source: RNAcentral